Molecule: long non-coding RNA, 369 nt
Filed under: Cyanistes caeruleus (blue tit)
Lineage: Eukaryota; Metazoa; Chordata; Aves; Passeriformes; Paridae
Description: lncRNA (ENSCCEG00000003417.1)
Source: RNAcentral
AUGUUUGGAGGAGCCACUCCUUUUUCCACCACCUCAGCAGAACAGUGCAGUCCCUCCCAUCUUCCCAAGCAGCAGCCCUUUCCCAGUCUACUGGGGCAGUGGGGUGUCCAACAUCUGCACGUUUAUGCUGAAGCAACUUCUGUCCCAUACGGAAUCCCUCUUCUUACGCAGAGAUACACAAAGAGAAAGAGGAGCAGAAAUACUGCGCAGGCAUGUGGCAGAGCAUAUGAGGAGGGACUGAGCUUUAACAGCCUUUUGCUGACCAUGAACCUUGUACCCGAGCUGCAGGGUGGAAGGGCAAAGGAAGAUGGAGACUUGGGGCUUAUGCAGGGGACCCAAACUGCAUUCCAGAAAGAAGCAGACACUUAG